RNAcentral lists this ribosomal RNA (429 nucleotides) under Bacteroidota bacterium. RNAcentral describes it as "Bacteroidetes bacterium partial 16S ribosomal RNA". It matches the Rfam family "Bacterial small subunit ribosomal RNA", at positions 355 to 776 of the family's 1533-position model. The record is from RNAcentral. Lineage: Bacteria; Pseudomonadati; Bacteroidota.
UAGGGAAUCUUCGGCAAUGGGGGGAACCCUGACCGAGCAACGCCGCGUGAGUGAAGAAGGUUUUCGGAUCGUAAAGCUCUGUUGUUAGGGAAGAACAAAUGUGUAAGUAACUAUGCACGUCUUGACGGUAUCUAACCAGAAAGCCACGGCUAACUACGUGCCAGCAGCCGCGGUAAUACGUAGGUGGCAAGCGUUGUCCGGAUUUAUUGGGCGUAAAGCGAGCGCAGGCGGUCAAUUAAGUCUGAUGUGAAAGCCCCCGGCUCAACCGGGGAGGGUCAUUGGAAACUGGUUGACUUGAGUGCAGAAGAGGAGAGUGGAAUUCCAUGUGUAGCGGUGAAAUGCGUAGAUAUAUGGAGGAACACCAGUGGCGAAGGCGACUCUCUGGUCUGUAACUGACGCUGAGGCUCGAAAGCGUGGGUAGCAAACAGG